Long non-coding RNA from Acinonyx jubatus (cheetah), 7952 nucleotides. RefSeq lists it as uncharacterized. Lineage: Eukaryota; Metazoa; Chordata; Mammalia; Carnivora; Felidae. The transcript has 3 exons. The record is from RefSeq and is a predicted model, not a curated record.
UCAAAGUAAAUAAACUUAAAAAAUAAAAUACUUCUGCAGCUGUCUUGGUGUUUACACCUUGAUGUUAGAUACAAUGAUGUGUUUUCAUAACAUACUUGUCCUGCUGGGCAGUCUUCAAAAUUUCCCCAAGUGCUGAAAAUUAAGGAAAUGUCAGUUGUAGAGUUCCUUAGAAUUUCCCUUGACCCUAAAUUCUUUGAGAAAUCCCAUCCUUUGCAGACUUUGCAGCAGUAAAGCAAAGUACCAAGGUCUACCAAGAGACGUUGCCUUACUGCUGCACCUCAGACACAUUCAGCAGCUGCCUAUAUGUAGUAAACAGAUAAGAAUCCAACAUCAUGGAGUUUAUUUUUCUAUGUGAGGAGACAAACUUUUUAAAUAGACAUAUAAUUUCAAAUAGUGGUAUUAGAGAUGCCUGACUGACUGGCUGAGUUGGUACAGCAUGCGACUCUUGAUCUUGGGGUUGAGUUCAAACCUCACGUUGGGUUUAUUUUUUAAAAAUUAGUAACGGUAAAAUAUCAGUCAUAUGGCAAUUGCCACACCCUCUGUGUGCAUUAUCUUAUUCAUAACACCGAAGUAAGUUAUAGAUGAGGAAACUAAGGCAGAGAUCUUGCUGUUAACCACCACACUUUACUUUCUAAGUCAAACGGUUUUAUCCUUUGGAAGAAAAUGUAGGGUCUUUCAAGAUUUGAAUGACAACAGGGGCGCCUGGGUGGCUCAGUCAGUUAAGCAUCUGACUUUGGCCCAGGUCAUGAUCUCACAGUUUGUGAGUUCAAGCCCGGCGUCAGGCUCUGUGCUGGCAGCCUGGAGCCUGCUUCGCAUUCUGUCUCCCUCUCUCUCUGCACCUCCCCAGCUCAUGCUCGCACUCUGUGUCUGUCAAAAAUAAAUAAACUUAGGGGUGCCUGGGUGGCUCAGUCAGUUAAGCGUCUGACUUUGGCUCAGGAGGUCAUGAUCUCAUGGCUUGUGAGUUCGAGCCCUGCAUCGGGAUCUGGGCUGUUUCAGAUUCUGUGUCUCCCUCUCUCUGCCCCCCCCCCCCCCCGUUCACACUCUGUCUCUGUCUCUCUCAAAAAUAAAUAAACAUUAAAAAAAAUUUUUUUUAAAAACUUAAAAGAUUUGAAUGGUAUCUUGUUUUCUGAAAUACAGGUCAAGAGAGCAUUUCCCCAUAUUUUUUUAUGUAUGAUCAACAUAUUAAGUUUCAAAAAAAUAAACUGAAUUUUUGGGGCACCUGGGUAGCUCAGUUGGUUGAGUGUCCAACUUCAGCUCAGGUCGCGAUCUCAUGGCUUGUGAGUUUGAGCCCUGCAUCGGGCUCUCUGCUGUCAGCACAGAUCCCACUUCAGAUCCUCUGUCUCCCUCUCUCUCUGUCCCUCCCUCACUCACACUCUCUCAAAAAUAAACAUUUUUUUAAAAAAAUUGAGUUUCAUGAGGAUCUGAGAUAUAAAUAGAUGCCUAAAUUUGGUAACUAUUAAGUCAGAUGGAUGGAAAUAGAUGUAGGAAAGAAGUGUCAUUUGAUUAUUACCAUACACAACACCUGCAGUUUUCCAUUAAUUCUGAAGGAGUUCCCACAUCUUUCAGAAAUUGGCUGUAAUUAAGCUGACUGUUCCUUGGUUUCAUCUUGUCUAUAGCUUUGGGAAAACAGUGAUUCGAAACAAACUUGACCGUUUAUGUGGAAAAUUGACUUAGAUAAUCCAUUAGAAGAUAAAGUGAGUGGUUCUAUCAUGAGGCAUACUAAGAACACAAAUUUAAUUCUGAACAUAUAUAUGUGUUGGCAUCGUGUUGCUUUUGGCCUGCAGGAUUGAAGGAGGAGGGAGCUUGCCCACCUGAACACUUGAAAAAGAAAAUGUUUUACAUGUGGAUAAAAGGAAGACUGUCUGGCCACACUCAGAGGUAUCAUUCCCUGCUGUACAAGCAUGGUCGGAAGCAAUGUGGGUCUGCACAUAUAGCAAACGUCUGCAUAAGUAGAGAAAGUGAAAUGUGAAGUUGAUAUGUUUCUGACCAGGCUGCUAAUCCCCCUCUCCAUUUUUCAGAGGUGUUGAGUGAUUUUCCCAAGAUCACUCAGCAAGGAUGAGCUAGAACAUGGAAUCAGACUCCGGUCCUCUAACUCCAAAUCCGUACGUGUGUGACCAUAGGGUGCGGUGGGGAGAGGCAGAGAAAUUUUUACUUAUGCUGUGGUACUUGUAAAGUUUUGUAGUGUCUUCAAGACAAAGAAAGGGAUAUCUCCAUCCCCAUUUGGAUGUUUGCUUAACCACCAAGCUUGGUGAUCUAUCCCAGCGCUAUAAAUUUGGAGCUCCUGACCACACCACCAGAGGAGGAAGCACACGGAAGAGGUGUGUGUAAAGAGAGCUGGAUCGACAGGUCUAGUCUACCCUGGAGGGGCGUGAGUAUUUUUAAAUUAAAUUAUGAGACUGAUGUUUUAAAUGAGUAGGACUAAAUCUCAGUACCUGGAAUUAAGAAUCUAAUAAACAGGGAGGCUGCUAUCCCAAAACAAUGAAGUUCAGCAAAGUACCAAGAAUAGAAAAUAUGACACUUUCAGGGACAUGCCUCUUGAGUUGAGAUUCUCAAACUGGUUACACAGUUUUGUCUCCCCUAGUAUCUUUAGACAGGGAUUGUUUCUUACUCACCUUUCAAGCUUUGGUGUCUAGUGUACAAUAUAGUGCAUGGGACAUAUAAUGUGUGUGGGUAAGUGAGUGAAUGCAUCCAAACUGUAAGAACUACGUAACUUAAUUCUCCUUUAGUCCACAGGCCCCUUCAGAGAGAUUAGGAAUUAAGGUUAUUUCUGUAAAAUCUCUACAAUUUCCACCCCACAGAGAGAACUUUCAGUCCACUUUUACUUCUUUUUCUAAUCAGCUCUCCUUCUCUCUCAAUAAACAUAUACAUAAUUCCUCUAGGAAAAGUACGUUUUUCCCCUUAAAUGUUAUGUGACUUUGAUCCACAUUACUGAAAGGCUCUCACAGGCUCUAGAGACCCUUCCCUUUCUUUUAGGAAUCUACAUGUUCUGUCCCCAGCACUCCACUCCAUUUCCUCUGCCACCAUCCCCUCCCGCUUCUCCAUAAAUACCCUCCUAACUCUGGCCUUACCAUGUACCAGCUCUGUCCAUGUCUGAAGCCACUUUCCCACUUCAGCAUCACUUUGGGGAAUCAGGGAGAGAGGAAUGGAAGACAAUAUUUCCUAUCUCUUGCCUCAAAUAUCUAUACAAGUGGGGACAGGAAGGUGAAAAGAUAAACAGGGCCAGAGUCUUGUUCUUUUUUAUUCUUAGCCUCUUGUGAAACCAUCUUCCACCAAACAUUUCCGUAGCAUAGACAUGCUUCAUUACAGCUUCUUUGUUCUCCCCAGCAAUCCUACACUUUUUCCUGAUACCUCCAACAUUUCUUUUCUUGUCUUUGGAUAGCUUGCCAGAAGUACUUUUGUCUGACAUCAAUCUGUGUGUGUGUGUGUGUGUGUGUAUCAGAUUUGUAUGAAAUUUUACAUUAUUUGUCCUUUCUAAAAAUCCAGAUCUUUACCUUUUUUUAGCCCUAAAAAAAGUCAAAUUGAGUCAAUUCUGGUAUUUUGGCUAUGCCAUAUCAGGGCAUAAGCAGUUACAGAGAAACUGAAAAAGUUAGAAAAGAAUCUGGUCACUGCCCUGUUUUCUGGUUAGGGAGGAGCAGACUUUGGAGAAGGGCAGCCAAGCAUGCUUUGUAACAAGCCGAAAAUAUGCCCUUGAAAGCUGAGGCCUAAACUGUGCCCGUAAGAUGGUAAACAAGCUUGACUGUGGCUUUGGCUUCUUCACAGUAAGGAAUAAUUCUUUCACAUUCUUCUACAUACUUAAACAGAAAUAGAUCAUAAAGAGCCAGGAGACAUUCUAAAGAAUUGAAGCAAAUGGAAGAAUUUAAUAAAUAGAAAAGAACUAAACAAAUGAAGUAAAAAAAUAAGCAGCAAAAAUAUAUUUUUUUAAAGCUAAAAACAUUUUAGAAAGUGUCAAAGAAAUAAUUACCAAGCCCCAGGUGGCUGGGACAAAUGACUUGCAAUCAGAGGCCAGAAUACAAAACAUAAUACAAAACAUAAUUAUUCAUUAACUCGCAGGGUAGCCUCUGCUACAUGUUACUUCACCAACUGAAGUGUGUGCUAAGGACAGUGAAUUCUACACUUAAAUAUCUAAUAAUUCGAGAGAGUCAUUCCUGUCCCAUAUUGCAAAAAAAAAAAAAAAAAAGUGGUAUGAGGAAAAGUGGUUAAAUGGAAUCAAGACGAGUCCUAGAAUCUAAUAUAUUUGAACUGGGCUGGGCAGCAGGCUACUCACUGACCUAGUGGCUGAAUACAGUAGUUCUGGUGACAAAGGAAAAGCUCUGAGGCAGCCCGGGAUUUUAUGCCCUCACUGCUUUUUCUGAUGAUGGGCUCACACCAUUUCUUUUCCAUAAGUAAAGCAUCAGAUUGUUUACUCACUCCACCCUCUGGCCAAGAAGUACAAGUUCACGAUGGGAACCAUACUCCAGGCUGUUACUUAUCAGGAUGUGAAAUGAGAAAGAAAAUAUGCAACUGAUAAAGCUUAGAGACAGAAUCAGGAAGGAAGAAAAAUAAAUUUGAAAACAGAUCGUUUAGCAGUUGCUGUUAGAAACAAAUUCCAGCCACCCCAAAGCCAUUGGCUGAGUACCCCCACCCCCAGGAUUCCUCAUGCCCACUGGCCUGCUCUGCCCACAGGACCCUGGGCUGGCUGUGGAGGGGCUGCCAACAGUGGCCCUGACCUUCCUUGCUAGAGCACACCUCUUUGCGGGGUUGCUCCUUCCAAGCAUAUGCGUGUGUUUGUAUGGAACAGUUACUUGCCAUGUUGGGGCAGUUUUAGGAAUUGCUUCUAAUUAAAAAAAAAAAAAAAGAAAGAAAAAAAUUCUAGAUUAAAAAUAAAGUUUCUAUCUGAAUUCAGUUCUCUUGACAUGGAAUUUUUUUUAUUAAAUUCUUUUGCAAUUUUUUUAAGGUUUUUUUUUUUUGUUUGUUUUUAAGUAAUCUCUACACCCACUGUGAGGCUCAAACCCAUGACCCCAAGAUCAAGAGUCAUAAACUCUCUUCAGACAGCCAGGUGCCCCUGGAACUUUUUAAUGGUAGGUAGAGUUCAGUACCAGUAAAGGACAUUUAUCAUACUUUCUGUCUACCCAGCAUAUCUUUGAUGUAAUUCCAGUAUCUGGGGGAAUUUCCCACCUUGUGGGUCCACCUCCCCAGGAUAGAAAGCUGGAACUUGCUUUUCCAGGCCCCCUUGCAGCUAGGGCCCACAGAUGUGACACAGACAUCCAUUUGAAAAAAGUGAUGGGAAAAGCAAGGCAUCUCAUGGAAUACAUUUUGUGCAAGGGAAGAGGUGUGAGGCCAAGAUAUAUGCAGCUUUCACAGGUAGUGGGGACAGAAGUUCUGGCGUGUAACCCCACAAUAGUGAUGACUGUCUCCAAUGGAAACUACAUCAUUCCUGGUUCUAUAGCUUCCAAGCUUGAUUCUCUACUUCCAGAUUUUUUCCUUUGAAAAAGGAUCCUUUUCUGUUUAACUAGGGUGGAUUUUGUUUCAAACAGCGUGUAUUUAUUGAGUGCAAUCUAUGUUCUAGGAACUGGCUUUUAGCAAUGCAAUAAAACAGGAACAGAUUCUUAUCCUAACAAAACUCACACUCUGGUAGGGGAGACAGAUGAUAAAGUAAAUAUAUGAUAAUGCUAUAUACCAUAUGAUAAGCGCCACAAGACAAGAAGUGCCAUAGAGAAAAGUAAAGCAGGUAAGGAGGAGAAAUGCCAGGGGUGAGGUGUAGCACAUUUAAAUAGGGCCGUCAGGAAAGCUCUGACCAAGAUGACAUUUGAAUAAAGAUCUGAAGGAUGUAAAGGAAGAAAUCAAAUGGGUAUCUAGGUCCGCAUUCUAAGUAGAAGGGACACAAAGAGUACGUGUGCCCGUGAGCAGCAGUGUACUUGGCACAUUCCAGGAAGAGCAAGGAAACCAGUGUGGCUGGAACACUGAACACGGGGAAAAGUAGUAGCAGCUGAGGACCAAGAGGAGAGUGAUCCAAUAGGUGCUGGCAGGUUACCGCAGGGGCUUUUGAGAGUGGGAACGUUGAAGGUUUUCAGCAGAGGAGACACAUAAGAUUGUCUGCUGCACUGAAAACAGACAUAUGGGAAGGAAACAGGUAAAAGCAGAAAACAAGAGAAAAAUGAGGAACCUACUGUAACAAACGAGGUGAAAGAUGAAGAUGGUUUGGUCCAUGGUGGUAACGGAGGCGGGUGAAGAGAAACAGUCCGAUUCUGGAUAUAUUUUGAAGGUAUAACUGACACCAUUUAUUGACAGGUUGGUUUGCGGACAUUCUGAUGACUUAAUGCUUCUGACAUAUAGAAUUAGCAUAUAUAACAUAAUGUGUUUUCUAAGAAUCAAAAGGCAGAAAUAUAUGUAUUCUCAACAGUGGUGGUAGUAGAAACCCUCUUGCAUUAAUACAGAGCUUUAGCAUUAACACUAUCUGACAGAUGUAAUGAUGUAUGUCAUCAUUACUGUGUUGAAGUCAUUUAAACCAUGUUUUCAGUGGGGGCACCUGGCUGACUCAGUCGGGUAGACAAAGCGAUUCUUGAUCUCAGGGUUGCAAGUUCGAGGCCCACGUUGGGUGUAAAGAUUACUUAAAAACCUUAAAAAAAUUUUUUUCAGUACUAUGUGUAGGACAUGGUAAUUUGAUAACAUCACCAAAAAUUCACAUAGCACUAGAGUUUACAAAGCACUCUAACAACCAUUAUUUAAAAUCACAACCACUUCAAGAGAACGGUAAUUCCCUGUUUUACAGAUAUGGAAACUGAAAUCUAGAAACAUAAGUGACUUGCCUCGGGUCAGCUCCUGGAGAGCCAGCCUUGAACAUGGCCCCAGAUCCUUUAACUCACAGAUGAAAGUGCUGUACCACAGCUACACUACAAGGUGGCAUUCUACCAUCUCCCAGGUUUCACUUUUAUUUCUUAGUCGUGAAAUAUUAUCUACAUCUGUAUCUUAAACGCUAAGUCCAUAUGCUGUGGACAGAAUUGUUUCCCUCAGCCCCUCACUCCACAAAUUCUUAUGUUGCAGUCCUAACCCCCAAUGUGACUGUAUUAGGAGGUAAUUAAGGUUAAAUCAUAAAGGCAAGCCCUAAGCCCAUAGGACCGGUGGGCUUAUAAGAGGAAGACAAAGAUAUUUCAUUUUCUACACGUACACACACCUGAACAUACACUGAGAUGGUGGCUAUGUACAUGCCAAGAGAAAAGGCCUCAGAAUGAAAUCUACCUUGCUGGCACCUUGACCUUGGCCUUCCCAGCCUGAGAAAUCUGAGAAAUUGUGUUGUUUAAGCCAUCCAGUCAAUGGUAUUUUGUUUUGGCAGCCUGAGUAGAUUAAUACACCCUAUUAUGGAAAAGAAGGGUGGUUUAAUCUAGAACAGUCUUAAUGUUGGCCAAUUUAACAUACACACAAAACCCCAAAGAACGUUCAAUCCCAACUUCACUUUCAGGCCAUGUAAUCUAAACCAAAGUCCACAAGCCAGCAGAGAUUAGUCGUUUUAUACCCUAUUUAGCUGGCCCCUCAACUCCAUUCACAGCCAUGGAGUCAUACUCCUAGACUCUGGGGGAGGAACAUGUGCCAAUGCCACGUUCACCAGUGAAUCUCCUACAAUCUCCUUCAUACCUUCAAUACCUGCAUUGUCCAAUCAAGUAGCCACUAGUCAUAUACAGAGAGUAAGUAUUUGAUAUAUGGCUACUCUGAAUUGAGAUGUGCUGUAAGAAUAAAAAAUACACUGGAUUUCAAAGACUUAAUACGAAAAAAAGAAUGUAAAAUAUAUUAAUAAUUAUUAACAGCUGAAUAUUAUUUUGGAUAUAGGGGGUUAAAUAAAACAUUACAAAAAUUAAUUUCACGUUUCUUUUUACUGUUUUUAAUGUGCUGCUAGAUAAUUUCGAAUUACAUACAUGGCUUGCAUUUGUACUUUGCAUUGUCUUUCUAUUGCUUCUCCAUACAGUCCCUUAGUCCUUUUU